Camelina sativa (false flax) is the source of this 578-nucleotide non-coding RNA. The record is from RefSeq and is a predicted model, not a curated record. Lineage: Eukaryota; Viridiplantae; Streptophyta; Magnoliopsida; Brassicales; Brassicaceae.
AUUUGUGGUUUGUCGAACCAUGAUCAAAGUUCAAACUCUUAAUUAACUGCUGUCUGAAGAUCUUUGGAUCCUCGUACUGUGUUGUGCCGUACGUAUAUUUUGCCGCUGAAACUCGGGGACUUUUCUCCUAUGGAUGGUAAAAUCUAAAAUACAGCAAACGAAGUGUUGAUUCUCCCACCUGUUGCAUUGAGAAUGUCUUUUUGCUAUCCGUCGUCACCAAGAAAACUGGCGAUGACAGUGGCGUUUUUUGCCUCAGGGACUGCUCUUUUCGCCAUUGGAAUCCAUUUUUCGUAUCUCAACGUUGCUCCACAGCAAGCUCGCACUAAAGCCCGUAAUGAUUUUGUCAAAGAACGCCUCAGGCAGAAACAAGGCAAAUGAUUUCAGAGUGAUUUUUGUUUUCUGCCAAAAGACAAGCAUUUGAGCUUCUUACUUUAACCUCUCUACUCUCAAACUCAUCUCAUUGUUCUGUACGUAGAGCAAAAGAAAGUGAAUUACAAUUUUUCAAAACUGAAAACUGUUGCUUAAUAUUAUUACUUUUGUUUUUGUAAAUCAAAUGUAGCGUUUUGGCAUUGAUCAUA